This 590-nucleotide ribosomal RNA is filed under the name uncultured Burkholderia sp. RNAcentral describes it as "bacterial SSU rRNA". It matches the Rfam family "Bacterial small subunit ribosomal RNA", at positions 418 to 1003 of the family's 1533-position model. The record is from RNAcentral. Lineage: Bacteria; Pseudomonadati; Pseudomonadota; Betaproteobacteria; Burkholderiales; Burkholderiaceae.
UCGGGUUGUAAAGCACUUUUGUCCGGAAGAAAACCUCGUGGUUAAUACCCGUGGGGGAUGACGGUACCGGAAGAAUAAGCACCGGCAACUACGUGCCAGCAGCCGCGGUAAUACGUAGGGUGCAAGCGUUAAUCGGAAUUACUGGGCGUAAAGCGUGCGCAGGCGGUUCGCUAAGACAGAUGUGAAAUCCCCGGGCUUAACCUGGGAACUGCAUUUGUGACUGGCGGGCUAGAGUAUGGCAGAGGGGGGUAGAAUUCCACGUGUAGCAGUGAAAUGCGUAGAGAUGUGGAGGAAUACCGAUGGCGAAGGCAGCCCCCUGGGCCAAUACUGACGCUCAUGCACGAAAGCGUGGGGAGCAAACAGGAUUAGAUACCCUGGUAGUCCACGCCCUAAACGAUGUCAACUAGUUGUUGGGGAUUCAUUUCCUUAGUAACGUAGCUAACGCGUGAAGUUGACCGCCUGGGGAGUACGGUCGCAAGAUUAAAACUCAAAGGAAUUGACGGGGACCCGCACAAGCGGUGGAUGAUGUGGAUUAAUUCGAUGCAACGCGAAAAACCUUACCUACCCUUGACAUGUAUGGAACCUGGCUG